Molecule: non-coding RNA, 24 nt
Filed under: Arabidopsis thaliana (thale cress)
Lineage: Eukaryota; Viridiplantae; Streptophyta; Magnoliopsida; Brassicales; Brassicaceae
Source: RNAcentral
UGCAAAACCACCGGUUGCAACACC